AACUGUGCUGCCAAAUAGUCCUGGCUGAGUGGCCUUCCUCUGGAGUGUGGCUGGCUUGUCAGGGCUGCUACACUCAUAGAGAAAACUGACCCUUCCUUUCCCACAAAUAACAAAAGACAAUACAAGUUUCUGUCUGACACCAAAUGUUUAUGUAAGCUGUUUUGAAGCAAAUCUGCCUAGGUUAGAAUUCCACGUUAUUUAUGGACAUUUUUACUGUGCUGUAUUUUGUUUUGAAAUAAAGUACCUGGGGGAAUAGAAUUAUAGUUUUUCAUCCCCACCUCUUUUGAGGUGCUCUGCUUUCUGGGGACCAUUGCUUAGUCUGCCCGCCCCCCCCCCCCCCCCCCGAGUUGUGUAGAUUUAGAAAGUGAAUUCCCAUUCUUACCAUGAAUUAUUUGAAAAGAUAGGAAAUGUGUUUUGGAUUCCAGUGGCAGUAACAUCAUUUCCUCCCUUUUUAUUACCAUUGCUUGUUGCUCUGUGCUGCAGUGUUUCACACAUCUUACCACAGUGAAUCCCAACAGCACUGUUGGUGCAGUUGCCUUAUUUUAUGUCGGGUAAACCAAGGCACAGUGAAGACACAGCAUUACCUACCUGUGGGUUUGAAUUAGCUGUGUCCAUGUGUGCUCCUUAUGAUUUUACUCGAUAGGACAUCAUUCUUACGAACUUUGUGUUAUCUGUUGUUUUAACAAAGAAAUUCACAUUCUUUUUACAAAGAAACAGUUUUUCAAAAAACAAUUCAUUUUCUCAUCUAUAACCUAUCAGAUCUUGUUGGAAAUCUCAAGCUCUGCUUGAUAAAUUCUGUCAGCCUGGUUAUAUUCAGUGUGCUAGCGGCUGUCUAAGGCACCAAUAGCUACUGUUUGUCUGUGAGGGGUUUUCGCUUUUCUCCUUUUCUUGACACAAAGUCUCACUAUGCUGGUACCAAACUUAGGGCAUUUCUUUCACCUCUGUUUUUGAGUGCUGGAGUUAGAGGCAUGUAUCACCAGACUUAGUGUCUCUGUCUUCAUGAAGCUUAUUCUGUUGGGAAAAUAGGUGGUGGUGGGGGAGAACAUAGAAAUAAAUGCAUGCUUAAAAUGUUAGCAUGCACAGUACAGAUAGACAUCUGUGCAGAGAAGUGUGCUAGAUUCUAGGAAAUUGAUGUUGCACUAAUCUCAGACAUAUGAAAUAAUAUUUCCCCUUGGUGUGCAUUGUGAAUGUUCCUCUUUAUUUCGCUUUCUUUUUUUCUUUUGAGUGCACUGUAGCUGUCUUCAGACACACGCCAGAAGGCAGCACCGCUUGCACACUGACCCAGAAGUCCCAGCAGCAGCAUCACGUUUGUAUGCCUCCCAUGCUUGUCUCCUUUUCCUUGUUUUCUUUUCCCGAACCUCAGGACGACAGAAGUGGUUUUUCGGAUACAUUUUAUGUUCCAUGCUGUGACUUUAAAAACAUGCCGAUCAAGUAUCCUCUCUUUUCUUCUCUAUUCCUACUUGGGGGGAGAAUAAAUACAAGUUAAGUAGUUUAUU
This 1496-nucleotide long non-coding RNA is filed under the name Mus caroli (Ryukyu mouse). RNAcentral's name for it is "predicted gene 20712 (MGP_CAROLIEiJ_G0034641.1)". Lineage: Eukaryota; Metazoa; Chordata; Mammalia; Rodentia; Muridae. The record is from RNAcentral.